RNAcentral lists this long non-coding RNA (807 nucleotides) under Mustela putorius furo (domestic ferret). Its description in RNAcentral is "lncRNA (ENSMPUG00000031674.1)". The record is from RNAcentral. Lineage: Eukaryota; Metazoa; Chordata; Mammalia; Carnivora; Mustelidae.
UGUUAGUCUCCCUAUGUGUGUGCAGUUGCGAUACAGUGGAAACAAGUCUCCAAACCGGUCCUUAAGAAGUUUAUAAUCUGACAGAAAUCUGUGGGCGAAAGAUGAGGACAGAACAUUAAAACGUGAUUCCAUGAAAACUAUUCCUGAAGUUGAAAGUUCAAGACUUCAGUGGAGGAAUAACUGCAGAGGUGGUAGAAAUGGCAAAGAUUCUGGAAUUAGAAGUGGAGCCUGAAGAUGUCACUGAAAUUCCUGUAAUCAUGAUAAAACUUAAAACUUUAGUGGAUGAGUAAUUCCUUUUUAUAGAUGUGUAAAGAAAGUGGUUUCCAAAUUUGAAAGAACUUCACUGUGGAUAAAAUAUUAUUAAACAGCAUUACAUGCUACAGAGAUAUUUUUCAUGAAGGAAGAGUCAAUUGACACAGCAAACUUCAAGGUUGUCUUAUUUUAAGAAACUGCCACGGUCACCCCAACCUUCAGCAACCACCACUUUGAUUAGUCAGCAACCAUUGACACUGAGAUAAGACCCUGCACCAGAAAGAAGACGAUUCACUAAAAGCUCAGAUGAUGGUUAGCAUUUUUAGCAAUAAAGUGUUUUUAAAUUAAGAUAUGGACAUUUUUGAGACAUAAUAUUAUUGAACACAUAAUAGACACAGUAUAGUGUAAACAUAACUUUCAUAUGCACUGGGAAACCAAAAAGUCACUUGACUCAUUUUAUUGUAAGAUUCACUUUUUUGUGUUAUCUGGAACUGAAGCCACAAUAUGAGAUAUGCCUAUAAAAUAAAAACAAAACCUACAAAAUAAUAAAAAAAU